GAUGAAGAACGCAGCGAAAUGCGAUAAGUAAUGUGAAUUGCAGAAUUCAGUGAAUCAUCGAAUCUUUGAACGCACAUUGCGCCCGCCAGUAUUCUGGCGGGCAUGCCUGUCUGAGCGUCAUUUCAACCCUCAUGCCCCUAGGGCGUGGUGUUGGGGAUUGGCCAAAGCCCGCGAGGGACGGCCGGCCCCUAAAUCUAGUGGCGGACCCGUCGUGGCCUCCUCUGCGAAGUAGUGAUAUUCCGCAUCGGAGAGCGACGAGCCCCUGCCGUUAAACCCCCAACUUUCCAAGGUUGACCUCAGAUCAGGUAGGAAUACCCGCUGAACUUAAGCAUAUCAAUAAGCGGAGGA
Molecule: unclassified non-coding RNA, 348 nt
Filed under: soil metagenome
Description: partial contains 5.8S ribosomal RNA, internal transcribed spacer 2, and large subunit ribosomal RNA
Rfam family: 5.8S ribosomal RNA (bases 1-120)
Source: RNAcentral